AUUAGACGAAUCAUCUGGAAAGAUGAAUCAAAGAAGGUAAUAAUCCUGUAGUCGAAAAUGUUGUCUCUCUUGAGUGGAUCCUGAGUACGACGGAGCACGUGAAAUUCCGUCGGAAUCUGGGAGGACCAUCUCCUAAGGCUAAAUACUCUCUAGUGACCGAUAGUGAACCAGUACCGUGAGGGAAAGGUGAAAAGCACCCCGGAAGGGGAGUGAAAUAGAACCUGAAACCGUGUGCUUACAAGUAGUCAGAGCCCGUUAAUGGGUGAUGGCGUGCCUUUUGUAGAAUGAACCGGCGAGUUACGAUUUGAUGCAAGGUUAAGCAGUAAAUGUGGAGCCGUAGCGAAAGCGAGUCUGAAUAGGGCGUUUAGUAUUUGGUCGUAGACCCGAAACCAGGUGAUCUACCCUUGGUCAGGUUGAAGUUCAGGUAACACUGAAUGGAGGACCGAACCGACUUACGUUGAAAAGUGAGCGGAUGAACUGAGGGUAGCGGAGAAAUUCCAAUCGAACCUGGAGAUAGCUGGUUCUCUCCGAAAUAGCUUUAGGGCUAGCCUCAAGUGAUGAUUAUUGGAGGUAGAGCACUGUUUGGACGAGGGGCCCCUCUCGGGUUACCGAAUUCAGACAAACUCCGAAUGCCAAUUAAUUUAACUUGGGAGUCAGAACAUGGGUGAUAAGGUCCGUGUUCGAAAGGGAAACAGCCCAGACCACCAGCUAAGGUCCCAAAAUAUAUGUUAAGUGGAAAAGGAUGUGGCGUUGCCCAGACAACUAGGAUGUUGGCUUAGAAGCAGCCAUCAUUUAAAGAGUGCGUAAUAGCUCACUAGUCGAGUGACACUGCGC
RNAcentral lists this ribosomal RNA (834 nucleotides) under Staphylococcus aureus. RNAcentral describes it as "partial 23S ribosomal RNA". It matches the Rfam family "Bacterial large subunit ribosomal RNA", at positions 328 to 1164 of the family's 2925-position model. Lineage: Bacteria; Bacillati; Bacillota; Bacilli; Caryophanales; Staphylococcaceae. The record is from RNAcentral.